UACGAAGGGGGCUAGCGUUGUUCGGAAUUACUGGGCGUAAAGCGUGCGCAGGCGGCUUCUCAAGUCAGGGGUGAAAGCCCAGAGCUCAACUCUGGAAUUGCCUUUGAGACUGAGUGGCUUGAGUACGAGAGAGGUGAGUGGAAUUCCCAGUGUAGAGGUGAAAUUCGUAGAUAUUGGGAAGAACACCGGUGGCGAAGGCGGCUCACUGGCCCGAUACUGACGCUGAGGCACGAAAGCGUGGGGAGCAAACAGG
Molecule: ribosomal RNA, 253 nt
Filed under: uncultured bacterium
Lineage: Bacteria
Description: partial 16S ribosomal RNA
Rfam family: Bacterial small subunit ribosomal RNA
Source: RNAcentral